GGGUGCUCUGAUGAGGUGUACAUGGGUGGUGCCAAGCGUAACAUUUGUAAAUGACUUGCAGAGCGUGGGGCCAGUAUUUCCAAAGGGAUCCUCGAUACUGCCCUUGCGGUUGGCGCUUAUGAGCAUAAUAUGGCUGUUUGUUGGGAAGAGGCUCGAGUUGUUGAACCUAUAUGGGAUAGCUUUGGUGUUGCUACCUUGGAGGCUGUCGAGAUUGUGAGGGGACAGCUCUCGCACGAUGUCAUCGGUGAUCUGCCGCCGAUGAAUUUGUCGAAUGCAUGGAGGUGCUGUGCCAUGAAUGGAAUUUGGCCCUAAAUUUUGUGUCGGGUCGUCAUGCCUCUUGGCUUUCCGCGUUGUC
RNAcentral lists this long non-coding RNA (355 nucleotides) under Androctonus crassicauda. The record is from RNAcentral. Lineage: Eukaryota; Metazoa; Arthropoda; Arachnida; Scorpiones; Buthidae.